AGAAUAAGUGGUGGGUAAGACCGGUGCCAGCAGCCGCGGUAAUCCCGGCGCCACAAGUAGGGACCAGGGUUAUUGGGCCUAAAGCGUUCGUAGCAGGUCGGAUAAAUCUCUUGUGAAAUCGUUGGGCUUAACCUAACGGCGUGCAGGAGAGACUGUUCGACUUGAGACCGGGAGGGGUCGGGAGUAUUCCUUGGGGAGCGGUAAAAUGCUAUAAUCCUUGGAAGACUACCUGUGGCGAAGGCGCCCGACCAGAACGGGUCUGACUGUGAGGGACGAAAGCUAGGGGAGCAAUCCGGAUUAGAUACCC
This 307-nucleotide ribosomal RNA is filed under the name uncultured euryarchaeote. RNAcentral describes it as "bacterial SSU rRNA". It matches the Rfam family "Archaeal small subunit ribosomal RNA", at positions 432 to 738 of the family's 1478-position model. The record is from RNAcentral. Lineage: Archaea; Methanobacteriati; Methanobacteriota.